RNAcentral lists this ribosomal RNA (603 nucleotides) under uncultured bacterium. Its description in RNAcentral is "bacterial SSU rRNA". It matches the Rfam family "Bacterial small subunit ribosomal RNA", at positions 85 to 638 of the family's 1533-position model. The record is from RNAcentral.
GGGGUAAACGGUACCGUACGGGUAACCGUACGGUACCGUCGGUACGUACGGGGGGACGGUAACGUAAUUACGGUAAACGGUAAGUAGACGUAAUACCGACCAGUAAGAAGUAGGAGUGUUGUCGAUGACAUUUGUCUUUGUAAAGGGUAGCGAAUUAGCAUCACUACCAGAUGGACCGUGCGUUGUAGUUAGUCUAGUUUGGUGGGGUAACGGGACGUCACCCAAGGACGACGAUACAUAGCCGACCUGAGAGGGUGGAUCGGCCACACUGGGACUGAGACACGGCCCAGACUCCUACGGGAGGCAGCAGUAGGGAAUCUUCGGCAAUGGACGGAAGUCUGACCGAGCAACGCCGCGUGAGUGAAGAAGGUUUUCGGAUCGUAAAGCUCUGUUGUAAGAGAAGAACGAGUGUGAGAGGUGGAAAGUUCACACUGUGUACGGUAUCUUACCAGAAAGGGACGGCUAACUACGUGCCAGCAGCCGACGGUAAUACGUAGGUCCCGAGCGUUGUCCGGUAUUUAUUGGGCGUAAAGCGAGCGCAGGCGGUUAGAUAAGUCUGAAGUUAAAGGCUGUGGCUUAACCAUAGUACGGUCGACGCGGCCG